RNAcentral lists this ribosomal RNA (301 nucleotides) under uncultured bacterium. Its description in RNAcentral is "partial 16S ribosomal RNA". It matches the Rfam family "Bacterial small subunit ribosomal RNA", at positions 509 to 807 of the family's 1533-position model. The record is from RNAcentral.
CAGUCGCCACGGUAAUACAGAGGGUGCGAGCGUUAAUCGGAUUUACUGGGCGUAAAGCGUGCGUAGGCGGCUUUUUAAGUCGGAUGUGAAAUCCCUGAGCUUAACUUAGGAAUUGCAUUCGAUACUGGGAAGCUAGAGUAUGGGAGAGGAUGGUAGAAUUCCAGGUGUAGCGGUGAAAUGCGUAGAGAUCUGGAGGAAUACCGAUGGCGAAGGCAGCCAUCUGGCCUAAUACUGACGCUGAGGUACGAAGGCAUGGGGAGCAAACAGGAUUAGAUACCCCUGUAGUCCCUGUCUCUUAUAC